This is a non-coding RNA of Arachis ipaensis, 1293 nucleotides long. The record is from RefSeq and is a predicted model, not a curated record. Lineage: Eukaryota; Viridiplantae; Streptophyta; Magnoliopsida; Fabales; Fabaceae.
AAGAGACGUUGAGCAUAGCGGCCAAAAAUUGCCAGCCGCUCAGCUUAUCGCCGCAAAACAUGUCUCCAGAAAAAUCAACCCUUCAUGUGCCACACCAUCGACGGCGACUGCAUCAAGAAAUCCCGCUAAUUCGGACUUUAUUAUAAUUCAAUUUUUAUUUUGCCUUUUUUUUAUCUUUUAACCAAUAAUUUAUUCCAAUAUUGCAGAAACCUGCAAAGUGAGAUUGGUAGCGCACGAAACCCUGGCACUGCUGCUCCACCGUGCGUCGCUGAUCCAUCCUCCUCUCUUCGGCGUUGAGUUUUCGACUCUCCUGCAUAGUGCUUGAAAUCCAUACUCCCUCAUCCACGCGUGAAAUUCCUAAUCUCUGAUCCAUCCUGCGCCUCUGUGUGGUUGUGAAGUCGCUGGCUGCCCUCCAUCCUUCUCUCACCGAUGUCAAAGUUUUCCAUCUCCUCGAUCGUGCGUGAAACCCUUACAUCUUCCUCCCCCGUGCUGAGCUAUCGCAGUCUCUCCCCUGUCACUGGUCAUUGAUGAUGUUAAGGCCGUGCAAUUGAUUGAAUCAUAUGAAGAAAGAAAUAUGACAUUACAUCUUUUAUGGAAUCGAUCCCCCUUUGACUGUACAAGAAUAUGUGGAGCUCAACAUGUCUGGAAGCACCGGAGAACGUUCUUUUGCUGAUAUUCUUGGUUCAGUUCUCUACCUUAAUGACAGAAAAAAGGAUUGAUCAAAUUCUAUUGAGUUCGGUUAUCUACCUUACUGAGAAUUGGUGGAUUUGGAUGUUUCGCCUCUUCCUCGGAGAAAGACGAUCAAAAAAUUUCCAAUCAUGGUCCUUGCGGAUCGGAUCAUCCAUAUAAUAUACAAAAAGAAACUCCAGAUAUUUGAUAUCUUUCUCAUUACAUUAUCAAGAAUGAGACUAGUUGAAUUUCUCAAUAAAAAGUGAUAGUUUUUCUGGAAGUUUUAAUAGUAUUUCUAGCGAAUUGCUAUAUCUUGAGUGGGAAGAUUAUCCAUUUACGUAUUUUUCAUCAUGUUGUAAGCUAUUCAAGCUUUUGAAAUUAGUCGUGCAAAGGAGCAACAUCAAGCAACUAUGGGAUGGCACAAUAUGUCUGCACAAUUUGAAGGAAUUGAAUCUCUCUGACUCCAAAAAUCUUGUGAAGAUUCCAAACCUUAGCCAGGCUCCAAAUCUUGAGAUGCUAUUCCUUAGAAGAUGUAGAAAGCUUAAGCACAUACAUCCAUCAACUGGAAACCUAAGAAAACUUGUUCAAAACUUGUUCAGUUAGAUUUGAGUGCUUAAGAUUAUU